UCAAGUGACUAAGUGCAUGUGGCGGAUGCCUUGGCGAUCACAGGCGAAGAAAGACGCGGCAGCCUGCGAAAAGCUGCGGGGAGCUGGCAAACGAGCUUUGAUCCGCAGAUAUCUGAAUGGGGGAACCCACACCGCAAGGUGUAUCCGUAGCUGAAUACAUAGGUUACGGAGGCGAACGAGGAGAACUGAAACAUCUAAGUAUCCUCAGGAAAAGAAAUCAACCGAGAUUCCGGCAGUAGCGGCGAGCGAACCCGGAGGAGCCUAGCUUUUGAUAGUACGAACUUUAGCCGAAAGGUCCUGGAAAGGCCUGCUAUAGUGGGUGAUAGCCCCGUAGGCGAAAGAGUUGGUACGGUACUAAGGAAGCGAGAAGUAGAGCGGGACACGUGGAAUCCUGUUCGAAGACGGGGGGACCAUCCUCCAAGGCUAAAUACUCGUGAUCGACCGAUAGUGAACCAGUACCGUGAGGGAAAGGCGAAAAGAACCCCGGGAGGGGAGUGAAAUAGAACCUGAAACCGCAUGCAUACAAACAGUAGGAGCCUCACCAGAGGUGACUGCGUACCUUUUGCAUAAUGGGUCAGCGACUUACAUUCUGUGGCGAGCUUAACCGAAUAGGGGAGGCGCAGCGAAAGCGAGUUCGAAAUGAGCGUCCAGUCGCAGGGUGUAGACCCGAAACCAGAUGAGCUAUCCAUGGCCAGGUUGAAGGUGUGGUAACACACACUGGAGGACCGAACCGACUAGUGUUGCAAAAUUAGCGGAUGAGCUGUGGAUAGGGGUGAAAGGCCAAACAAAUCUGGAGAUAGCUGGUUCUCCCCGAAAACUAUUGAGGUAGUGCCUCGUGUGUCGCUCCAGGGGGUAGAGCACUGUUUUGGCUAGGGGGACAUGGAGUCUUACCAAACCAAGGCAAACUCCGAAUACCUGGAAGCGUAAGCACGGGAGACAGAGCACCGGGUGCUAACGUCCGGACUCAAAAGGGAAACAACCCAGACCGCCGGCUAAGGUCCCCAAUAACAGCUAAGUGGAAAACGAAGUGGAAAGGCCGUGACAACCAGGAAGUUGGCUUAGAAGCAGCCAUCCUUCAAAGAAAGCGUAAUAGCUCACUGGUCGAGUCCUUCUGCGCGGAAGAUGUAACGGGGCUAAGCUGUUAACCGAAGCCGCGGAUGCGCUGGUUAUCCAGUGCGUGGUAGGGGAGCGUUCUGUAAGUCUGCGAAGGCGGUUCGAGAGGACUGCUGGAGAUAUCAGAAGUGCGAAUGCUGACAUGAGUAACGUUAAAGCAGGUGAAAAGCCUGCUCGCCGUAAGCCCAAGGAUUCCUGCUCUACGUUCAUCGGAGCAGGGUGAGUCGGCUCCUAAGGUCAGGCCGAAAGGCGUAGCCGAUGGGAAUCAGGUUAAUAUUCCUGAACCUGCGUCAGAUGCGAUGGGGGGACGGAGCAUGGAAGAUCAUCCGGGUGUUGGAAGUCCCGGUUGUUGAGCGUAGGAGGUCUGCAGGCAAAUCCGCAGACGCAUCUCCAAGGCAAAGACACGUGCCGCCACGGCGGCGAAGUGAUCGGAAGUGCUUCCAAGAAAAGCCUCUAAGCACCAGUCUGAUGCGGACCGUACCGCAAACCGACACUGGUGGGCGAGCUGAAUAUGCUCAGGCGCUUGAGAGAACUCGGGAGAAGGAACUCGGCAAAUUGACCCCGUAACUUCGGAAGAAGGUGUGCCGUAGUACCGUGAGAGGAGAGACACCUUGAGCGGGAAACGGUCUCAGAGAAUAGGUGGCUGCGACUGUUUAUUAAAAACACAGCACUCUGCAAAGUCGAAAGACGACGUAUAGGGUGUGAUGCCUGCCCGGUGCUGGAAGAUUAAUUGAUGGGGUGAGAGCCCUUGAUCGAAGUCCCAGUAAACGGCGGCCGUAACUAUAACGGUCCUAAGGUAGCGAAAUUCCUUGUC
RNAcentral lists this ribosomal RNA (1927 nucleotides) under human gut metagenome. Its description in RNAcentral is "bacterial LSU rRNA". It matches the Rfam family "Bacterial large subunit ribosomal RNA", at positions 3 to 1973 of the family's 2925-position model. The record is from RNAcentral.